Molecule: ribosomal RNA, 372 nt
Filed under: Homaxinella balfourensis
Lineage: Eukaryota; Metazoa; Porifera; Demospongiae; Suberitida
Description: LSU rRNA
Source: RNAcentral
AAUGCAGCUAAAUAAGCUUGCCUGAGCUCAGGAGUGAUGUCGGUCGGUGGUACCAGUCUGCAAGAGCCGAAAGGCUUUGCUCUCUGGUCAGCUGCUGACUCCUCUGCACUCUCGGGCUUGCUUGCCAACAACAGUUGCUCGUGGCUGUGAAGGGCGAUUGGGUAGGUGCUCACCCCUCGGGGUGAUACUUAUAGCCAUUCGUCUGGAGUCUGCGGGUGACUGAGGAUAACUCUGGCAGCACAGGCCUUCGGGCUUUGGGCGACUCCUGGCCGUUCGAACAUCGCAACAGAUACUGCGUGCAGUGUCUGCUGACGGUUGUUUGCUCGGACGGGAGAUCCGUCACAAUUUGUGCUCCAGUUGUUGGUUAUCAAA